This 332-nucleotide unclassified non-coding RNA is filed under the name fungal sp. RNAcentral's name for it is "partial internal transcribed spacer region". The stretch from base 1 to 46 matches the Rfam family "Eukaryotic small subunit ribosomal RNA", at positions 1786 to 1831 of the family's 1831-position model. Lineage: Eukaryota; Fungi. The record is from RNAcentral.
AAGUCGUAACAAGGUUUCCGUAGGUGAACCUGCGGAAGGAUCAUUUCCGAAAUCUUUUCUCUUCUUUUUGGCCUUCGGGUUAAGAGAAAGAGGAAAAAUUAAAGAGAUUGUGUGGUAUCAAAGCAAAAGAAGCAUUAAGGAGUUAGGGGUUUUUAAGAUCUCUCUCUCUUUAAACUUCUUUCAUUUCAAACUUUGAAACAAACAUGACUACUUUUUAAUUAAAACCAAUUUAAUUAGAGUUUAUUUUUAAAGGCUUAAAACCCCUUUCUUUUAAAUUCUGAUCAAAAUUAUAAAACAAUACACAACUGUCAACGGUGGAUCUCUUGGCUCGU